CUUCGGGUGGAUUAGUGGCGAACGGGUGAGNAACACGNGGGCAAUUGCCCUUCACUCUGGGACAAGCCCNGGAAACGGGGUCUAAUANCGGAUAACACUCCUGCCUGCAUGGGCGGGGGUUAAAAGCUCCGGCGGUGAAGGAUGAGCCCGCGGCCUAUCAGCUUGUUGGUGGGGUAAUGGCCUACCAAGGCGACGACGGGUAGCCGGCCUGAGAGGGCGACCGGCCACACUGGGACUGAGACACGGCCCAGACUCCUACGGGAGGCAGCAGUGGGGAAUAUUGCACAAUGGGCGAAAGCCUGAUGCAGCGACGCCGCGUGAGGGAUGACGGCCUUCGGGUUGUAAAACUNUUUCAGCAGGGAAGAAGCGAAAGUGACGGUACCUGCAGAAGAAGCGCCGGCUAACUACGUGCCAGCAGCCGCGGUAAUACGUAGGGCGCAAGCGUUGUCCGGAAUUAUUGGGCGUAAAGAGCUCGUAGGCGGCUUGUCGCGUCGGAUGUGAAAGCCCGGGGCUUAACCCCGGGUCUGCAUUCGAUACGGGCAGGCUAGAGUGUGGUAGGGGAGAUCGGAAUUCCUGGUGUAGCGGUGAAAUGCGCAGAUAUCAGGAGGAACACCGGUGGCGAAGGCGGAUCUCUGGGCCAUUACUGACGCUGAGGAGCGAAAGCGUGGGGAGCGAACAGGAUUAGAUACCCUGGUAGUCCACGCCGUAAACGUUGGGAACUAGGUGUUGGCGACAUUCCACGUCGUCGGUGCCGCAGCUAACGCAUUAAGUUCCCCGCCUGGGGAGUACGGCCGCAAGGCUNAAACUCAAAGGAAUUGACGGGGGCCCGCACAAGCAGCGGAGCAUGUGGCUUAAUUCGACGCAACGCGAAGAACCUUACCAAGGCUUGACAUAUACCGGAAACGGCCAGAGAUGGUCGCCCCCUUGUGGUCGGUAUACAGGUGGUGCAUGGCUGUCGUCAGCUCGUGUCGUGAGAUGNUGGGUUAAGUCCCGCAACGAGCGCAACCCUUGUUCUGUGUUGNCAGCAUGCCCUUCGGGGUGAUGGGGAUCUCACAGGAGACUGCCGGGGUCAACUCGGAGGAAGGUGGGGACGACGUCAAGUCAUCAUGCCCCUUAUGUCUUGGGCNGCACACGUGNUACAAUGGCCGGUACAAUGAGCUGCGAUGCCGCGAGGCGGAGCGAAUCUCAAAAAGCNNAUCUCAGUUCGGNUUGGGGUCUGCAACUCGACCCCAUCAAUCGGAG
RNAcentral lists this ribosomal RNA (1242 nucleotides) under Actinobacteria bacterium GM35A7. Its description in RNAcentral is "bacterial SSU rRNA". It matches the Rfam family "Bacterial small subunit ribosomal RNA", at positions 81 to 1331 of the family's 1533-position model. Lineage: Bacteria; Bacillati; Actinomycetota; Actinomycetes. The record is from RNAcentral.